RNAcentral lists this ribosomal RNA (468 nucleotides) under uncultured bacterium. Its description in RNAcentral is "partial 16S ribosomal RNA". It matches the Rfam family "Bacterial small subunit ribosomal RNA", at positions 28 to 507 of the family's 1533-position model. The record is from RNAcentral.
GACGAACGCUGGCGGCGUGCUUAACACAUGCAAGUCGAGCGGAAAGGCCCUGCUUUUGUGGGGUGCUCGAGUGGCGAACGGGUGAGUAACACGCGAGUAACCUGCCCUUGACUUUGGGAUAACUUCAGGAAACUGGGGCUAAUACCGGAUAGGAGCUCCUGCUGCAUGGUGGGGGUUGGAAAGUUUCGGCGGUUGGGGAUGGACUCGCGGCUUAUCAGCUUGUUGGUGGGGUAGUGGCUUACCAAGGCUUUGACGGGUAGCCGGCCUGAGAGGGUGACCGGCCACAUUGGGACUGAGAUACGGCCCAGACUCCUACGGGAGGCAGCAGUGGGGAAUAUUGCACAAUGGGCGGAAGCCUGAUGCAGCAACGCCGCGUGCGGGAUGACGGCCUUCGGGUUGUAAACCGCUUUCGCCUGUGACGAAGCGUGAGUGACGGUAAUGGGUAAAGAAGCACCGGCUAACUACGUG